AGAUCCCAUAGCUGUCACUUUCCCUCUAUCACGAAAACGGUUCUAAGGCCCAGUGCCAUGACUUAGCGAGUGAGGAUACACGGCGCCAAGCCCAAUGACCUGUCUCUGGGACCUACAAGACAGCCAUUCAAAUUCGCACGAAUGGACAUACAAUAAAUGUAUUUAAAACACUCCAAGACAUGUUUUUCUGCUGUAUAAAAUACAACAGCCUGAUAUGAUAACUAAUCAGGAAUCUCAAGAUUUCGGAGGUUGAGGAAAAAGGAUUAUGUGGAGAUUGACACGGCACAUAUUUUGUAGCCUAUUCUGGCCUCAAGAAUCCUGUACUCAAGUGAACUCACUAACUUCCAGUGGUUCAAAAGGACUGAGCCUGCCAGGCUGCAUGAAGAAGGAAAAGUACCAGGGCACUUGAGCAGUGAACUCCAAGAGUGGCUGGUGGGACUGAGGGAAAGGAUGGAAGACAAAUGUCACUGCAAGAAGCUGAGAGGCUGGAUUGGAGGAUGUAGGCUUUGCCAUUGAGUCCUAGAGACUUCCAGUAUCAGCACUGGUAGUUCAUGUGUCUCGCAAUGCCACUGACUUUGCUCCAUAUCUCAGAAGAAUCACCCAGGACUUCCCAGUUGUGUCUCUCUCCUGGGAAGGGCUGGAGUGAACCGUGCACCCAAACCUCUAUUUGUGACUCAUCGCCAGUUCUCAGCACAUCAAGCAAACAGACUUGAGGUCACACCCAGACUGAUGUGCAGUUGCAGCAUUAUGUUGAGCUCUGGGAAGGAGGCCAUCAAGGGGACAGUAAGUUGGCAGAUGAGAAUGGACACAAGCAAGGCACUGCUUAAGUAGGUGGCCGAUUUCCAGCCUGGAAGGCUUCCCACAGCUCUGACAAGUGUUACCACUCUGGAGCAGUGGGCACCUGGAACCCAGGCCCCAACCCCGAGCACCUUAUCAUCAGAUGGGUGUCUAGUUACCAGAAGGGUCAAGGCUCUUGCCCCUUCCUGCUGUGAGACUCCUGCUGAACAUGAAACACCAUCCAAAGCAGCCUGGAGAAUAGCACCCAAGGCAUGUGUACACCAUAAACCAGCUCCUGUUUACUUACUGCUGGCUGGGGGAGGAGAGCAACUGCCAGGAAGGCCUCCCAUCAGCAGGAGAGCAAUUUUCCUUGGCUGCUUUGUGGCACGGAGGCAGGAGCCUGGUGUACAGCAAACACCUUCUGAGUAACCUGUUCCUUGUGUGGGAAGCAGAGGGACAACCGAGCUCAGGCUUGCAGCACGAUAGACUGCUGACAAGGUGAGAGGGGUUUGCUGAGGCACUUGGACUCCUCCCAUCAGGUUGAAUAGGAGGCUGGAUGCCCUCUAGACCCUCUGCAGGUAAGGUCCUGGGUGAGAAGGCCUUCCCUGGUGAAGAUGCAACAUCAUCUGCACUAUGUGAGCAGCACGAGGCAUGGCCCAAGGCCACCCUGGCUUCUGGUAGCAUCCCUCCUCACAUGAGGCUGACAACCACGCCCUUGGGCACGUACAAGCUCCAGUCACAACUCAAACUGGGGACCUUAUCCAGCCCAGUCUGCUCUGCCUCGGUGUGAGAUUAGACUUAAAACCCUAUCAAACCUGGGUGUGGUGAUGCACAUCCCAGCACUUGGGAGGCUGAGGUAGGAGUUGUGCAAGUUUGAAACUGCUGGGUUCCUGUAGAGUAAAUGAGGACUUGGAGAACCAACACCAUCCAAACGGAGAAGACACUCGAAGGCCUGCAGAUGGACUCUCAUGAGUAAACAUGGUCUUCUCUGACUUGUUCCCCUCUUCCAUGGCUGGGGGUCAGACACCCAAGCCUGAGACAGAUGCUGUUUUGUUUUUCUUUUAUUUAUCUACAUUCAGCGGAAUUCAAAUGUACUGUCUGAAUGAUCCAGACAUACCAAAAAAAAAAAAAAAAAAAACUCCACUGCUUUUUUAAAAUAAAAUUUUCACUUAUAAAAC
This 1955-nucleotide long non-coding RNA is filed under the name Mus pahari (shrew mouse). RNAcentral describes it as "predicted gene, 16853 (MGP_PahariEiJ_G0004236.1)". Lineage: Eukaryota; Metazoa; Chordata; Mammalia; Rodentia; Muridae. The record is from RNAcentral.